GCAUUGGUGGUUCAGUGGUAGAAGUCUCCCCUUUCAUGUGUGAGACCUGGGUUCAAUUGCCAGGCAAUGCA
RNAcentral lists this transfer RNA (71 nucleotides) under Loxodonta africana (African savanna elephant). It matches the Rfam family "tRNA". Rfam says of the family: Transfer RNA (tRNA) molecules are approximately 80 nucleotides in length. Lineage: Eukaryota; Metazoa; Chordata; Mammalia; Proboscidea; Elephantidae. The record is from Rfam by way of RNAcentral.